This 119-nucleotide ribosomal RNA is filed under the name Pteropus alecto (black flying fox). Lineage: Eukaryota; Metazoa; Chordata; Mammalia; Chiroptera; Pteropodidae. The record is from RNAcentral.
GUCUAUGGCCACGCCACCCUGAACAAGCCCGAUCUCAUCUGAUCUCAGAAGCUAAGCAGGGUCGGGCCUGGUUAGUACUUGGAUGGGAGACCACCUAGGAAGACCAGGUGCUGUAGGCG